AUAAAAACGCAUCUAAUACAACUUUCAACAAUGGAUCUCUCGGUUCUCGCAUCGAUGAAGAACGCAGCGAAAUGCGAUAAGUAAUGUGAAUUGCAGAAUUCAGUGAAUCAUCGAAUCUUUGAACGCACCUUGCGCCCUUUGGUAUUCCGAAGGGCACG
Molecule: ribosomal RNA, 158 nt
Filed under: Heterobasidion orientale
Lineage: Eukaryota; Fungi; Basidiomycota; Agaricomycetes; Russulales; Bondarzewiaceae
Description: 5.8S ribosomal RNA
Rfam family: 5.8S ribosomal RNA (bases 20-158)
About the family: 5.8S ribosomal RNA (5.8S rRNA) is a component of the large subunit of the eukaryotic ribosome. It is transcribed by RNA polymerase I as part of the 45S precursor that also contains 18S and 28S rRNA. Functionally, it is thought that 5.8S rRNA may be involved in ribosome translocation.
Source: RNAcentral